CCAUAGAGUCUGGAGGCCUAGAGCGACGCCGCUCGGAGAGAAGGAGGGUUAAUGGCGGCUUUGAGCCGCGCCGGAAGUUCCGGGUGAAGACAGGACUGUUCCUGACAACGGAUCCAUAGUACCAUCCGCCAACAAGUGUUGCUGCCGCAAAACAGACGAUCCUUUCUCUCCUUCGCCGGCGUCGCGGAAAGGUGCCAUGCCUCAGUGGAGACACAGGAGGGCGCCCGAGAGCAAGAAACGAGGCGCGGUCUCCGUGACGUCACAAGCAACGGACAAGAAAAGAACAUUAUAGAAUGGCCACGCCCCUUAACUGCCGGUGGCGCACGAAGCUAAAGAGCCGGCCUUCGGAGCCUGAGAUCACGGGUUCGAGCCCCGCUUCGCCCUUUUGCGAAAAGGCUGUUUACAAAACAGGAAUUUUCAUUGUUUAAAAAUACUUUUUGAAUUUUAUUUUUGUUAUUAUUUUAUUUUUCACAUUUAUUUUA
Sceloporus undulatus (fence lizard) is the source of this 482-nucleotide long non-coding RNA. RefSeq lists it as uncharacterized. Lineage: Eukaryota; Metazoa; Chordata; Lepidosauria; Squamata; Phrynosomatidae. The record is from RefSeq and is a predicted model, not a curated record. The transcript is spliced from 3 exons.